This 496-nucleotide ribosomal RNA is filed under the name uncultured bacterium. RNAcentral describes it as "partial 16S ribosomal RNA". It matches the Rfam family "Bacterial small subunit ribosomal RNA", at positions 29 to 507 of the family's 1533-position model. The record is from RNAcentral.
AUGAACGCUGGCCGCGUGCCUAAUACAUGCACGUCGCGCGCACAGACGAGGAGCUUGCUCCUCUGACGUUAGCGGCGGACGGGUGAGUAACACGUGGAUAACCUACCUAUAAGACUGGGAUAACUUCGGGAAACCGGAGCUAAUACCGGAUAAUAUAUUGAACCGCAUGGUUCAAUAGUGAAAGACGGUUUUGCUGUCACUUAUAGAUGGAUCCGCGCCGCAUUAGCUAGUUGGUAAGGUAACGGCUUACCAAGGCAACGAUGCGUAGCCGACCUGAGAGGGUGAUCGGCCACACUGGAACUGAGACACGGUCCAGACUCCUACGGGAGGCAGCAGUAGGGAAUCUUCCGCAAUGGGCGAAAGCCUGACGGAGCAACGCCGCGUGAGUGAUGAAGGUCUUCGGAUCGUAAAACUCUGUUAUUAGGGAAGAACAAAUGUGUAAGUAACUAUGCACGUCUUGACGGUACCUAAUCAGAAAGCCACGGCUAACUACGUG